Molecule: unclassified non-coding RNA, 251 nt
Filed under: Hevea brasiliensis (rubber tree)
Lineage: Eukaryota; Viridiplantae; Streptophyta; Magnoliopsida; Malpighiales; Euphorbiaceae
Source: RNAcentral
GAACAUUUUACAUGUCAGACGCUUUGAUCAAUGGGCUCGCCGGAGCUGGCGGCGGGAUCAUCGCUCAGCUCAUCACGUAUCCUCUCCAAACUGUAAAUACUCGGCAACGGACCGUGAUCCGAAGAAAGAGAAGAGGAAGCUUAGUACUGUAGAGCAAAUAUGUCAGGUUGUAAAACACGAAGGAUGGGAACGAUUGUAUGGGGGAUUAGUGCCAUCUCUUGUAGGAACAGCUGCAUCUCAGGGUGUUUACU